This is a non-coding RNA of Pelobates cultripes (western spadefoot toad), 208 nucleotides long. The record is from the annotation of a GenBank genome assembly. Lineage: Eukaryota; Metazoa; Chordata; Amphibia; Anura; Pelobatidae.
UGGAACAAGAAAAGGAGGCAGAACAGCAAAUUAAUAAUUUUAAUUUAACGGACUCUAUCCAUCCACUAAAUCAUUUUACUUCCCCAGGUAUCUAUAUUAUGCCUGAGCAUAUGAAACAGGGGUGAGUAGUUAGAUUUAAAAAGGAUAGUUGGGUCUGAAGUGAGAUUGAUUCCAAAAUAUUUUAUCAUCUCUACUUUCACUGAUAGGC